Long non-coding RNA from Melitaea cinxia (Glanville fritillary), 197 nucleotides. RefSeq lists it as uncharacterized. NCBI's taxonomy places the organism in Eukaryota, Metazoa, Arthropoda, Insecta, Lepidoptera, Nymphalidae. The transcript is spliced from 2 exons. The record is from RefSeq and is a predicted model, not a curated record.
CAUGUCUGUUGCUCAUAGUCACCACGCAGGGCAGCUUUAGCAGCCUUCAGGGAACGGACUAAGUCACCUUGUUUGGUUAUCUCGUUGUUAAGAGAAGACACGUCCUCUUUGGGAGCAGCAUAUGCAGUUGGAGCCGCGCCUGGUUUCCAAUCCUUUAAACAAGUUAUUUUUCUUUAUUAAAGAGUUUGGAAAGGAAA